Molecule: unclassified non-coding RNA, 144 nt
Filed under: soil metagenome
Description: partial internal transcribed spacer 1
Source: RNAcentral
UAAUAAGUGUUUUAUGGCACUUUUUAAAUCCAUAUCCACCUUGUGUGCAAUGUCAGUCGAUCUUCUUCAUGGAGAUCGACCAAACAUCAACCUUAUUUUUUAACUCUUUGUCUGAAAAAUAUUAUGAAUAACCAAUUCAAAAUA